RNAcentral lists this ribosomal RNA (427 nucleotides) under uncultured bacterium. RNAcentral describes it as "partial 16S ribosomal RNA". It matches the Rfam family "Bacterial small subunit ribosomal RNA", at positions 355 to 774 of the family's 1533-position model. The record is from RNAcentral.
UGGGGAAUAUUGCACAAUGGGCGCAAGCCUGAUGCAGCCAUGCCGCGUGUAUGAAGAAGGCCUUCGGGUUGUAAAGUACUUUCAGCGAGGAGGAAGGCGUUGUGGUUAAUAACCGCAACGAUUGACGUUACUCGCAGAAGAAGCACCGGCUAACUCCGUGCCAGCAGCCGCGGUAAUACGGAGGGUGCAAGCGUUAAUCGGAAUUACUGGGCGUAAAGCGCACGCAGGCGGUCUGUCAAGUCGGAUGUGAAAUCCCCGGGCUAAACCUGGGAACUGCAUCCGAAACUGGCAGGCUAGAGUCUUGUAGAGGGGGGUAGAAUUCCAGGUGUAGCGGUGAAAUGCGUAGAGAUCUGGAGGAAUACCUGUGGCGAAGGCGGCCCCCUGGACAAAGACUGACGCUCAGGUGCGAAAGCGUGGGGAGCAAACA